CAGUCACUGUGGCAUCUACACGGAAUAAAAUGGAAAGACUUGUACUAUUUUGCCGUUCGACUAACUUAUGGAGCAAAAAGCAGCCCAAAUGUUAUUCAAUUUGUUCGCGGAAACACUAUGCUGGCUGUUGUUAAACAUAUGUGGCUGUCAAUUCGUCAUCCACUAUCUAGAGGACUUCAUGACUGUAGAAAAACACGAGACCGUCCCACUAAGCAUUACGAAAAC
This is a non-coding RNA of Pelobates cultripes (western spadefoot toad), 225 nucleotides long. The record is from the annotation of a GenBank genome assembly. NCBI's taxonomy places the organism in Eukaryota, Metazoa, Chordata, Amphibia, Anura, Pelobatidae.